This 263-nucleotide ribosomal RNA is filed under the name uncultured bacterium. RNAcentral describes it as "partial 16S ribosomal RNA". It matches the Rfam family "Bacterial small subunit ribosomal RNA", at positions 793 to 1055 of the family's 1533-position model. The record is from RNAcentral.
GUCCACGCCGUAAACGAUGGGUGCUAGGUGUGGGGGGUUUCGACUCCCUCCGUGCCGAAGCUAACGCAUUAAGCACCCCGCCUGGGGAGUACGGCCGCAAGGCUAAAACUCAAAGGAAUUGACGGGGGCCCGCACAAGCAGCGGAGCAUGUGGUUUAAUUCGACGCAACGCGAAGAACCUUACCUAGGCUUGACAUGCACGGGAAUGUCGUGGAAACACGGCAGCCCUUCGGGGCUCGUGCACAGGUGUUGCAUGGCUGUCGU